CUCCCGCCGGCGACCGGCGCACGGGUGAGUAACACGUAUGAAACCUGCCCGUAGCAGGGGGAUAAGCGGAAGAAAUUCCGUCUAAUACCGCGUAACAACCCGAGGAGGCAUCUCCUCGGGUUUAAAGGAAGCGAUUCCGGCUACGGAUGGUCAUGCGUCGCAUUAGCUAGUUGGCGGGGUAACGGACCACCAAGACGACGAUGCGUAGGGGUUCUGAGAGGAAGGUCCCCCACACUGGUACUGAGACACGGACCAGACUCCUACGGAAGGCAGCAG
RNAcentral lists this ribosomal RNA (276 nucleotides) under uncultured bacterium. RNAcentral describes it as "partial 16S ribosomal RNA". It matches the Rfam family "Bacterial small subunit ribosomal RNA", at positions 82 to 354 of the family's 1533-position model. The record is from RNAcentral.